GGGGGCGAAACGGCUUCGACGUGGGUCGUGAAGCUUCAGGAGCAUGCCGGGGAGUCUGUCCUCGAUAAAAAAAGGCAACCAUAUAAUCGGCAACGAUUAUCAACUUGCUGCUGCUUAAUUGACAGCGCACGCCGACUCGAGAUGUGGUGGCGGUUUCGAGAAGGCGACAUUUAGUCACCUCGAUUGCUGGUGUUUUCUUCAGGCCUGCAAUUUAAAAAAUUCUGGGGGAAGGGUUCUUAAGAGUUUGUUCAUAAACGCUUGAGCAACCAACUAAAUUAUGAACUAAGCAUGUAGCUUUGCCUGACAGUGGAACACUUGCGGACGCGGGUUCAACUCCCGCCGCCUCCACCA
RNAcentral lists this transfer-messenger RNA (351 nucleotides) under Bdellovibrionales. RNAcentral's name for it is "RBG-16-40-8 sp001769925 Standard tmRNA". It matches the Rfam family "transfer-messenger RNA". Rfam says of the family: Bacterial tmRNA, also known as 10Sa RNA or SsrA, is named for its dual tRNA and mRNA-like properties. The record is from RNAcentral. RNAcentral also lists the same sequence under 1 other name. Lineage: Bacteria; Pseudomonadati; Bdellovibrionota; Bdellovibrionia.